Long non-coding RNA from Scylla paramamosain (green mud crab), 2836 nucleotides. RefSeq lists it as uncharacterized. Lineage: Eukaryota; Metazoa; Arthropoda; Malacostraca; Decapoda; Portunidae. The record is from RefSeq and is a predicted model, not a curated record. The transcript has 4 exons.
UCUCUCUCUCUCUCUCUCUCUCGUCAUAUUGUUUGGUGAAGCAUUAGUACCCAUUAAUUAACACUAUUGAAGUUUCUUACAUUCCAAGUAAAAGUUGCAAUUUCACAUACACCAUAAUUUUAAUACAUAGGUAUGUGUUCCAAAAGAUGGACAGAGAAACAAUUGGUUUGGGUUUCAAAUGGUCUCGGUACAUGCGAACCAACGGGAAUAAACCCUCAGCAGCAGCGGCUGGGGCUAUGGCCUACGGGCCAGCAGUGGCUCAGUGCGCCUCAUGCUGCUGCGGAUGAAGGGGUGAAGAGUAACUCGGUGUGCAGAAUGUGGACUGAGGAAAAGGAAGAGGAACUCAGACACUUUGUUGAUGAUGACAUAAACCAGGAUCUAGUGAUUCAUCAUCAAAAGGCAGUGGCUAACUGUCAGCCAAGAAAAGAAAGACAUCUCGAAAGGGGAAUGAGGCACCUCCUUGACAGCAGCAGGUUGUCACUGUCUUGACUGAAAACAUUACAGACCUGAAGAAGAAAAAAAAAAAAAAAAAAAACCACCCUCCCAUGCCUUUGGGGAAUAUAUUGCAUUGCAGUUAGAUACUAUCAGUGACCCACACAAAUGGCCAUUAGUAGCUACUAGAGUAAUGCAGUUUCUUCAUGAAUGCAUGUUUAAAAUUCAAUGAUAUGCAAAUAAAUAGCAGAUGCUACUAUGUUUCCAUUUAUCUAUAAGAUGCUAUGACAGUUCAGCAGACAUGGGCAUGAUUAUAAAACAUUAUUAUGAUUUGAUUUUGAUUAUGGUCUGAAAUACUUUUUUGAUUUUGAUUAAAUUAUGAUUACUUUAGUUUUGCUAUUUUUUUAUUAUGAUUAUUUUUUCUUUUUGUGCAUGAUUAGGAUUAGAUUAGGAUUAUAAUCACAUUUCACUGUGAUUAUUUAUAAAAAGAUGAUUAGCAAUGAUUAAAUACAAUGCCUAAAAAGGUAGCAAACUACAUCUAUUAGGUGCACUGUUCCAUAUCUGAGCACAGUAAUAUAACAGUUUUAAAUCACUUACUAACUAAUGGUAUUAAAAAUGUACAUUGUGUGUAAGAGGUUUUAUUUGUUUUUGCUUUACAGUACAUAAUACAUCACUUCUAUGAAUUUAUUUCAAAUCAUGAUCACAGGCUUUCACAGCAAUAAUGAAAACAAAGUAUUUCUCUUUGAAAAAUAUAAAAUUUGUUAUACACAGGAUUUCUUGUAGGCUAGAUUAUUUCUCAUGUAAUGUCUAAUUUACUGUGUAUUGGUUACACGAUAAACAUCAAUUCCUCAAAGCAAACAUUGGUCAUUCUGUAUCAUUCAGGAUGAAAGACUUUUCCAGCAAUAGAGAAAAGUCUCUCAGCUGGAGCUGAUGAUAUUGGGAUACACAGAUAUCAGAAAGCCAGUAUAGUUAGUUGAGGUAAUGUUGACUGAUUCUAUUUCCAGAAGAGAAGGGGAUCACUGUCAUCCUCUGUUCUUGGCUGACUCAGGUACCGAUGUGAAAUGACUCCAUGCCAUCAGUAUCACACGCUGCAGGGCCCAUCGUGAUGCCAAGGGGUGGGUGCUCAUUAAUACAGUUACACAUGCUGCAGGAAUGUUGUCUUGCUCCCUGGUGAACCUCUAAGCCACACAGAUGUCAUCACUCAUGCUAUUCAUCUGACGCCUGGGUCCAGACCAUCUUAUAGCUACAGGGUGCCACACAGCUAUUGUGUUCUGCUUGAUGACGCUGUGCGAGGUAUGUUACUUCAGGAUAUAGUGGAGCCUGCCUGUUCACCUCAUAAUGCUCCCUUGUUGCUCAUUCCAAAGAAACAAGGCAAUUGGCACGUGUAGCCGCCGUAUACGCACAACUUACACGACGGCUAGAGAUACAUUGUACUGUGACAUUUUAUGUUUUCUUUGUUAGCGUUAUAUUAUUUGUAGUGACUGGUUGUUAUACAUGAGUAGUGUAUGGAGUGUAGGGCACGCCCACGCGCCAGCACAACAGAGUGAGAGGGAAACGUAGGGCCGAGGGGACACGUUGAACUUGCCCUCUCAGCUAUUUCUCUCAUCGACGGGUCGGUUGUUAUGACGUGAGCGCUGAUAACAAACCUGCAGCAUAAUGAACAUCAUAUGCCGUAGGGGCCCAGCAGAGUCUCCAAAGCCACUUCACGACAGUCACGCCUACACGUUAGACGUGUCUUGGGAAGCGCGGAGAAUCCCGGUAAAUCCCCAAGUGUUCCUCAUCCCGGUAAAUCUCCUUGCAUACAAUCAUGUUCCUCAUCCCGGUAAAUCUCCAAGUGUAAUCCUUGCAUACAACCAAGAGGACGUAAAUCUCCAAGUGUAAUCCUUGCAUACAACCAAGAGGACGCCUGUUCUGCACUGUGUAUGUAUUCAUCAUAGUAUUAGGAUAUUUAUGUAACCAUGAGGUUUUGAUGAUGUGUGUCAAUAUAAUUAAUGUGACUUAUAGUGAUUAGAUACUUAAAUUGUGGGGAUUUAGAGACAUAUGUGUUAAUAUAAGUACACAACGUAACAUAAUGACGUACAUCAGAUCACGCAGACGAGAGGGCGACUUGCUGUGUUUGUGCUGGUGGUGUUCAUCUGUAGAACUGACUGAACCCGACGAGAAGGUGACUUGCUGUGUUUGUGCGGGUGGUGUUCAUCUGUAGAACUGACUGAACCUACUAAAGUGUAGGUAACUCUGUAUUGACUUAUAUAUUGUACAGAAUUGACGACGUGAAGUGUCACGACAAUGAUGUACUGCAAUACCUGUGUUUCCUAUGAUAUACUCCUUUGUGUUACUCCCAGUAUUAGUGAUAAUAUGUUAAUUCGCAGAUUUGACCGCUUCUGAAUACAAAGAGCACGUACUG